Long non-coding RNA from Piliocolobus tephrosceles (Ugandan red Colobus), 1737 nucleotides. The record is from Ensembl. NCBI's taxonomy places the organism in Eukaryota, Metazoa, Chordata, Mammalia, Primates, Cercopithecidae.
AGAAAAAUAAUAGCUUUAUAUGAGUUUGUUGAUAAAAUACAAAAUAUAAUAUGGUCGAAAAUAUGUUACAUUAUUAAUGAGAAUUUAAAAUCGUUAACUUAUAAAAUCAAUAUCGUUCAACAUGUGAGUAAAGACGUAGAUAAACCGUAUAAUAAAAAAACAAUUUACGAUCUGUUUUAUCCUGGUGGAUAUGAUUCGCUUGGACAUGAUGUAGUCGACCAUAAUGCUUGUACAAAUUUUAAUGAAACUGCGUUAUAUAUUGAUAAAAAAAAAAAAAAUAAUAAUAAUAAUAAUAAUGAUAAUGAUAAUAAUAAUAAUAAUAGUAAUAAUAAUAGUAAUAAUAAUAAUAAUAAUAUGUUACUUUUUGAUUCCAAAAAGGACCAAGUAGUAGACGCAAAUGUUAUUAUAAAUGAAAACGGUGAAAAAAAAAAGGAAACGAUACAUGAUGGUUUCAAAGAAGAAGACACGACAUAUUAUACAGUAGUAGCAGUAUCUGAAAAAGACAAAAUAGUGGAUAUACAGCAGAAGCGUUUUCAAGAAAAUAAUAGAAACGAACCAAUUCAAGACAUAAGUGGUAAUAUGCACUCUUUACAUAUGGUCGAAAAAAAAACGAAAAUGCAGAUGCAGCUACAAACACAUAAUGUUGUAAAAAAAUUUUCGGAUUUUUAUUGCUCCUUAAUCAUAUUAAACGAUUUGUGUUUUGCUUUUGAAAAACAUUAUAUAAAUAAAUAUAUACAAGAGAGUAAAGAAAGUGCUAUUAUUAAUAAGCAGAUUAAUAAUUCACAAGUACAUGAAGAAGCACCAUUAAAUGUUAAAAAAAAAAUAAACAAUAAUAAAGUAAGUAAUAAAAUAAAUAGCAAAAUAAAUGGAAAAAUAAAUGGAAAAAUAAACGGAAAAAUAAACGGAAAAAUAAACGGAAAAGUAAAUAAAAAGGACGACAGCAGUAUAUCAGCUUUAAAAGAGAGUAACGAGUAUGAACGACUCGAAAAAAAAAGCGACGACACAAAUAAAAAAGGUAUACGAAAUGUACAAACUGCCGAUACGUUUGGUCAUUCUGAAAAUAUAAGUGACGGUAAGUCUAUUAUAAACAAAGAAAAAAUACAAAACGAUCAAAAUUCAAACGUAAAAGGAAGCAAAAGCGAACAUAUUCAAUCUGACACAGAAGAAAAAAACGAAAAACAAAAUUGUUUAAAAGAAUUAAAAAAAACUACCUUAUAUAUGACCAAUGAAGAUGUUACUAAUCCAGAGGUUACCAACUGUAACGAAAAAUAUGAACAAAAUAUAGAAGACAAAAUACGAACCAAAUAUAAAAAUAUGAAUAGUUUUAUUAAAAAAAUAGAGAAUACAGUUAUACAAACUAUAACAAGUUUAAAAAAUGAAUUAUCGAAUUAUCCUGAUCAGUUAAUAUUUUUAAUUAAUAAUUAUUACUAUAUUACACAAACUUUAAAAGACAAUAAAAUAGAUGAUACCAAAAUCAUACGUUUUGAAAAAUUGCUACAAACAAUUGUAAAUUCAUACAUUAAAAAUGAACUUAAUGAGUAUAUAAAAAAUAUGAUUUUUUUUGUACAUACAUAUGAACACAAAUUUAAUAAUAUAACAAAAAGUGAUGAUAACAAAAAUGUAUUAACACAAGCUGAAACAAAACUAAUGGAAGAUGUAGCUAUUCAUUUUAAACAGCAUUGGAAGCAAAUACUUAACAACAUUAAACAGAAAGUUAUAACAUCUUUUACCAUAACU